This is a long non-coding RNA of Xiphophorus hellerii (green swordtail), 65 nucleotides long. RefSeq lists it as uncharacterized. The transcript has 3 exons. Lineage: Eukaryota; Metazoa; Chordata; Actinopteri; Cyprinodontiformes; Poeciliidae. The record is from RefSeq and is a predicted model, not a curated record.
AUAAAAACCACAAGGAGCCAGAGUCAAGCAAAAACAGGAAUCCAGAUGGAGGAACCAGCAAGGAG